Molecule: long non-coding RNA, 3512 nt
Organism: Centrocercus urophasianus (Greater sage-grouse)
Lineage: Eukaryota; Metazoa; Chordata; Aves; Galliformes; Phasianidae
Exons: 3
Source: RefSeq, a predicted model, not a curated record
CGGGCUCCGUCCCCUCCGCCCACAGAGCGGGGCCGCGGCCGGGGGUCUGCGGCCACAGCAAGGAGACUGAGAGAAUUGCUGGACGGGCGCUGCACGAACAACUUAUUGACCUGCUGUGAUGUAACUGCACCGAUGGACGAGGGAAGAGCACUGAUAUUGUCUGUCUGGACUUCAGUAAGGCUUUUGGUACAAUCCUCCAUAAUAUCCUUCUCUCCACAUUGCAAAGGUGUGGAUUUGAUGGGUGGUUGUUCGAUGGACAAGGAAGUGGUUGCAAGACUGUGCCCAGAGAUUGGUGGUCAAUGGCACAACGGCCAGAUGGAGGUAUAUCCAACACACAUCCCACUUGCUGAAUGAGGCCCAGCCCGGCCCAUCCUGCAGCUCUUCCCUGUCCUGCACCAUCAUGGUGGCAGCUCUGCCCUGCUAAGUGGCCCAGCCCUCACCAUUCAACAGCAACCAAACUUCAGCGAGCAGUUGGAACAAUCUGGGCUGAAAAUGGGCCAUGGGGAGGACAAAGUGCAGUGGUAACUCAGGGUGACAGAGAAUUGAGCAGAUGGAUCCUGCACACAUCCUGUAUGCAGAAUUUGAGGGAAUUCUUUCAUAUAAGGCACAGAAGAGCUUUGACCCUCGGUAAGACAACAGGUUACACAUCAGAGAAGUUGGUGUAACGUGACCCCAACACAGCACUGUCUCUUCCAAGGAUGGCACAUUUAGCCUAGGGUGAAUCAGGACUAAAUCUGCCCUGCUUUCAAAUGUGCAGCUCUCAACAUGCUGCCGUGGACGUGCUCAGCAUGCUAAUGCCCUGACAGCUGUGUGGGUGUGAUUCAUUCCGUGUUUUGCCUUUGGCUGUCCGGCCUCUGGGGUCAGCUCGGUGCUCAGCAGGAGGUAAGUGAUGGGCGCAGGUGGCCAGAGGCGGGGAGGGAACAAGGACUGUCCUACCUCCACAGCAGCAAGCUGUUAAUUCUGCUUCAGUCCUGGCAGGAGCCCAACACCCCCUUAAUUUUAGAUGGAAAAUCGAUCUCCUCCAUCUUUUACUGCAGUGUAGUUAAUCCCCAAGGACUUGUAAGUGGAAGGAAAGUAUACCUGCCGGUACUCACCAGUUUCAUGAAUGGGUUUGUACUACUUCAUGGCUUACUCGAAUCACUGCAGAAUUAAAUGGAAAAUACCUGAAAUAUCCGAUCCAUUAAUUAUGGAAUCUCUCUCUUACUUUGCCUGUCUGCAACAAAUAACCCAGGGGUGAUGUUAGAAAGAAUGUAAGGGAGAAUGUUAGAGAACUUUCAGUAUCAAGCAGAGAUGUGAAAUCAAAUGUAAUCUAAGCAAACUAGGAACUAGUUACUGUGAUAAGUACUCUGCUGUAUCAACUAGAUCUACUGGUGCUCUAUUCUGAAUGUCAGAUGUCCUUCUAGUAACAGGAAUAGAUUCUUGCUUAAUUUUUUUAUUAUUAUUAUUUUUAAGAGUACGUUCGAAUGAAAAUUGUAAAAGCAGAUUUAGACAUCUUGUGCUCUGCUAAGUGAUUGUUUAGACGUGGUUCUUUUUGCAAUUACAGACACUUGUGAACAGCUACCAAAUGGGCUGACAUAGAAAAGGUGUAGAGAGAUGGAUGGCCAAGGUUAUCAGCAGUGCUGUUAUUUCUGCACUAAUUCAGUGCUUCUGAGACAGAACACUUCAGAAUGAAAAUGAGACCACCAAACAAGAUGUGAUAAAAAGAAGUCAUGAAUGGCAGGGAGAGUUUGGCUGAAAAUAAUUAAUUGUUCACUUCCUCUUCUGGUAAGAAAAUGAGGGAGUGUUGCCUUAAAUGAGCAGGUAACUGGCUUAAAGCAAACUGAUGGAGACGCUUCAUAUCAUGUGUGGCUAAAGCUGGGAAACAUUUCACCACAGAACAUGCUCAGUGGUACAGAUGUACAUGAUGUUAUAAACUGUCUGAACAAAUUCGCAGUGGAAAAAAACCAUCACAGCCUAUUAAAUUCAGGGGCUAUCUUUGGCUUAAAAGAAACAAUAAUGCCAAGAUUUCUGGCUGCUACAAAAUAUUUCUACGCAUUUUUAUUGUCCUUUAUUCUUCCCUAAACAUUUGAUGUUGGCUACUGUUGAAGGCUUAUUUGGUGUUAGAUGGGUCAUCUAACUUGAAACAAAUUCUGUUUGUAUUCUUGGGAGAUUUUAAUCAAAUUUUACAGUAAUUAAAGGCCUUUAUGAGCCUUACAAGAAAUGGAUUUCACAAGUCACAGCAGAAGCACUUGCCGUGCAGGAAUUAUAGAUCAAAGAAAAAGCAAGAAGAAGGAAAGAAGAGAAAAAAAAAAAAAAAAAAGUGGAACGUGAUAGGGGUGGAUGGUAGGGCCAUCUCCAAGGGUGAGAAACUCCUUUCCAACAGUCAGUAUGGUAGGAAGCCCCACAUUUUCCUUCAGCCUUCUUCAGCUUUUCACGUCUGAUGCAUUGCCUUUAUGCAUGGCCAGACAGACCUGGCUGUAAUUGCAGAACCUUCAGAUCUCCUAAUGGUGGCAUUACUCUCACCCAGAAAUACACAGCUCUAAACUAGCAUUGGAAGAGUGGGAUGAAUAAUGCAGGAAAAAAAAAAAAAAGAAAAGAAAAGAAAAGUGGGGCCGUGCUGGUAGCUUCUGUGACACUGGGAAAUGAAGACCACAGCUAUAUCUGCAAUGGCCCCUGUCAGGCAGCACCAUCCUGUUCCACAUCACUGCUGGAGGAUGUUUUCUUUCCAUACGACAAGCAACACAGCAUACACUCCAAUUUUUGGCGCAGGGGGCUAUAUUAGUGCAAAUUGCAUGUUUUCCAGGAAUUUUUUUAUUUUUAUAGUGGAAACUGGGGUUCUGCAGGAAGGACUUAAAUUUGGGUGAGAAGUAUAAGGAUGCGCCAAAAUAGCAACACAUUUGGGGCUGGAGUUGCAAGGUGCAGCAGUGCCAGGAUGGGUUCUUCAGCUCCAGCAGGGGUAGCUGGAGGCCAGAGUCAGGCUCGCUAUGUGCAGGCUGUGCUGGCUCACCUGCAGGUAGCGAAACACUCAGCAAACACCUGGGGAUUGACAUUGUCCAUGUGAUGCUUGGGAGAGCUCUGCCAUCCUGCUGCACGAUUGGGAAUUGCUGCAAAAAACUCAGACUGCCCCAGCCAGCACACAGCAUGACUGCACCCCAGACCAUGGUCUGUGGAGCUCUGUGAAGCUCCAUCCUUGCGGCUUCUGCAGGAGCUGUGGGUGCAGGCCCCCUGCCCACGUAAAGGGCAGGAGUCACCCAGACUUCCUUUGCGAAUUGCCAGAGCAGUUUGAUCCAACAUAUGCACCACACUGAUAAAAUGUAGGGAUGCUCAUAUCCAUAGGAAUUCUCUGAAUUAUGAUUAAUUUUUAUUUAUAUUAAUUGUACACAUUAGUUAUUUUGCUUACUUUUGAUAAUUAAAAGAGUUAUAUAUUUUUUUAUUUAAUAAGAAAGAAACCUGAGCAAUGAAUACAACCCUGCCUACAUGCCUGCAUUUCGUAUCUUGGCUCUGUGCUACAGUUGUCUCAGUUUUAUGCUAUC